This 72-nucleotide transfer RNA is filed under the name Candidatus Pacearchaeota archaeon. Its description in RNAcentral is "tRNA-Thr". It matches the Rfam family "tRNA". From Rfam's summary of the family: Transfer RNA (tRNA) molecules are approximately 80 nucleotides in length. Their secondary structure includes four short double-helical elements and three loops (D, anti-codon, and T loops). Lineage: Archaea; Nanobdellati. The record is from RNAcentral.
GCCUUUGUAGCUCAAUGGUAGAGCAACUGUUUUGUAAACAGUAGGUUGGGGGUUCAAUUCCCUCCAAAGGCU